UCCGAUGUAGUGUAMGKCAUAUCACAGUCCGCUCUCACCGGGCAGACCGGGGUUCGACUCCCCGCAUCGGAG
RNAcentral lists this transfer RNA (72 nucleotides) under Ogataea angusta. RNAcentral's name for it is "partial transfer RNA". It matches the Rfam family "tRNA". From Rfam's summary of the family: Transfer RNA (tRNA) molecules are approximately 80 nucleotides in length. Their secondary structure includes four short double-helical elements and three loops (D, anti-codon, and T loops). Further hydrogen bonds mediate the characteristic L-shaped molecular structure. tRNAs have two regions of fundamental functional importance: the anti-codon, which is responsible for specific mRNA codon recognition, and the 3' end, to which the tRNAs corresponding amino acid is attached (by aminoacyl-tRNA synthetases). tRNAs cope with the degeneracy of the genetic code in two manners: having more than one tRNA (with a specific anti-codon) for a particular amino acid; and 'wobble' base-pairing, i.e. permitting non-standard base-pairing at the 3rd anti-codon position. The record is from RNAcentral. Lineage: Eukaryota; Fungi; Ascomycota; Pichiomycetes; Pichiales; Pichiaceae.